ACACUGGGAUAGCUCAGUUGGGAGAGCACGAGACUCUUAAUCUCAGGGCCAUGGGUUUGAGCCCCACAUUGGGUGUA
This is a non-coding RNA of Podarcis lilfordi (Lilford's wall lizard), 77 nucleotides long. Lineage: Eukaryota; Metazoa; Chordata; Lepidosauria; Squamata; Lacertidae. The record is from the annotation of a GenBank genome assembly.